CCUCAGUCUUGAUCUGGGAUGCUAAGACUUGGUCCACCGAAAAAGGGAGAAUAGUGUGAAAAUAAUUUUGGAAACUGGACUGUCUUGCUGUGCUGAAUGGAUCCUGACUUGUGUAUCAGAGAUGGGAGACCAAUAGCCCAUGAAGUCUCUUCCUCUGUCUUGAUCUGUGAUGCUAAGACUUGGUCCACUGAAAAAACCAUGAGAAGAGUAUGAAAACUAUUUCAGAAACUGGACUGUAUCUGUGCUUAAUAGGUAUUGAACUGUGUACCAGAGACGGGACACUAAUAGCUGACCCUAACUUGGUCCACCAAAUAGCAAAGAGAGAAAGUUUUUUCAGAAACUGGGCUGUCCUGCUGUGGUGAAUGGAUCUUAAACAGUCUACCAGAGAUGGGUGACUUAUAGCUGACCCACAAUAUAGUCUGCUUGCCGUGGUAAGCCACUUCCUCAGUCGUAAUCGGAAUGGGACUUUUAUACAGAGUGAGGUUCAGAUAUCCUGUUGGGUUGUACUGGUCAAUGAAGUAGAAGGGAAAUGUAUCUCCCCAGUGAUAGAAAGGUCAAGGAGACAAGGAAACUCAUCAUUCUGGUGAGUAUGACCGUUGCGGUAUAGUUGAACGGAAAAUGAAGCCCUCUCCUAUACUGUUGUGGAAGCUAGUAAUUCGUUCACAUUUCUCUCUAUUUCACAGGUGCCUCUGCUCCCUCUAUGAAAGAAGCCUACGAAAAUUUUAAUCUUGGAAAUAGUUAUAAAUUAGGAUACUAUUACCCUCUACCAACUUCGUCCUUGUAGUGCACUUAGUUAACGUAAAGUACGUAUGAGCAUCCACGUCUUAUUUUGGGAAAAAAAGUCUUUUAGCGGGAAAGGUUUGUAUGGCUGAUUUGAAGCUCUCUCCUUCUUACUUUGUAGAUGUCAUACGAAAUAACCAUUUCGAGCAAGUGACUAAGAAGAAAUGUCAAUCUUGGAAU
Pocillopora damicornis (cauliflower coral) is the source of this 960-nucleotide long non-coding RNA. The record is from RefSeq and is a predicted model, not a curated record. Lineage: Eukaryota; Metazoa; Cnidaria; Anthozoa; Scleractinia; Pocilloporidae.